Molecule: ribosomal RNA, 463 nt
Filed under: uncultured bacterium
Lineage: Bacteria
Description: partial 16S ribosomal RNA
Rfam family: Bacterial small subunit ribosomal RNA
Source: RNAcentral
CUACGGGGGGCAGCAGUGGGGAAUUUUGGACAAUGGGGGCAACCCUGAUCCAGCAAUGCCGCGUGAGUGAAGAAGGCCUUCGGGUUGUAAAGCUCUUUUGUCAGGGAAGAAACAGCAGCUCUAAUACAGUAUGCGAAUGACGGUACCUGAAGAAUAAGCACCGGCUAACUACGUGCCAGCAGCCGCGGUAAUACGUAGGGUGCAAGCGUUAAUCGGAAUUACUGGGCGUAAAGCGUGCGCAGGCGGUUAUGUAAGACAGGCGUGAAAUCCCCGGGCUUAACCUGGGAAUUGCGCUUGUGACUGCAUAGCUAGAGUAUGUCAGAGGGGGGUAGAAUUCCACGUGUAGCAGUGAAAUGCGUAGAGAUGUGGAGGAAUACCAAUGGCGAAGGCAGCCCCCUGGGAUAAUACUGACGCUCAUGCACGAAAGCGUGGGGAGCAAACAGGAUUAGAUACCCCUGUAGUC